CAAUUCUAGAGUUUUGAAAGUUGCUUACAAUGCACUUCCUGUUAACUAAGAAAACUCUGAAGCAAAAGGGUGGAGAGAAGUUUGUAAAUUCCUUUGUUUGAUAAUGACAUAAGACAUAAUUUUAUUGACCAAGAAAUAAAGAAUGAGAGGAUGUUUCAGAGACCAUGCUCACUAUGCCUAACAAGGUCCAAAAGGCAUGAUGACUCCAUGUGAAGAAAUUACUUACAAAAUGAGUCAAUCAAGUUGGCAUAAUUUGAGAAGCAGAAAUGAAGGUGGAACUUGCAUCUAGAGAUUAAACAUACAUUUUC
Molecule: long non-coding RNA, 308 nt
Organism: Myodes glareolus (Bank vole)
Lineage: Eukaryota; Metazoa; Chordata; Mammalia; Rodentia; Cricetidae
Source: RefSeq, a predicted model, not a curated record